Non-coding RNA from Camelina sativa (false flax), 650 nucleotides. The record is from RefSeq and is a predicted model, not a curated record. Lineage: Eukaryota; Viridiplantae; Streptophyta; Magnoliopsida; Brassicales; Brassicaceae.
UUUUUUAAAAAGAAUGUCUUCCAAAGAUUCUCCUACAGAUAGCCCAACUUUCACCUAUCUCAAGCUCGAUGAAAUUUCAGAAUCCCUAGACACACCUACCAUCGUCAUUCGUCUACUUCAUUUCUGGGAUGCGCGUGAUUUCAAACGCAACAAUCUUCUUCUGAGUGUGGAGUGUCUUCUUCUGGAUGAGGAGGCUAAUGUUAUACAAGCAUCUAUCCACCCACGGCAUCUUCACAAGUUUCGAUCUACACUCAAACAGGGUUGCCUCUUCAUGAUUACUAAUUUCGAUGUCAGGAAGCAACCAAAUUCCUACCGCCGUUCUGACCACGCGCACAAGAUUAUAUUCAAUGAUCACACCUCAAUGGAUGUUCUAGACCCUGACGAAUAAUCUUUUCCCUAGGAGUAUUUCUGCACUCGAAACUACAAGGACAUCCAAAGUUUGGUGGGUAAAGGAGAGAUCUUACCAGAUAUUGUUGCCCAAGUGUCAUGUAUUCGGAAUGCCGAUAAGGUCGACGAAACCACAACUCCACCGAAGACUAGGUCGAACCUGAUUCUUACGUGUGUAUUUGACAGUGGUGACACCGCUUAUGUCUCCGUCUGGGAGAACCAAGCAUCUACGGUCCGUGAAGAUGUUGCACUCCUAAAAGAAG